UUGCAAAUAAGUGGGUUGAAGACAUAAUUACUAAUCUGUCUUCCAUACAUGUAACAAAAGACUGCAGAGGCCAUAUGAAUUCAUCUUGACUAAGGAACUCUUCACAGCACUGCAUCUGAACAGUCACAACCUCACAGAGCAGCACAACCGCCCACUCAGGAUCAGUGUUAUGGUGCCAUUUUGAAGCUGGAACCUCAUCUUGUGUACAGAAAAGGUAGAGUUGAAAAUUCACUGGUUGUCUUGUAUUGUGUGUGGCAAAACCUGGGAUAACACAUGGGAGCCUUCCAGGAAUUCCCGACACUUUACACCCAAGUCUCCUCAUGCCAACCGGUUUGCAAUAUGACAGUCUAGUCACCAUAAACACCUGGACUCGCCAA
Molecule: long non-coding RNA, 377 nt
Organism: Danio aesculapii
Lineage: Eukaryota; Metazoa; Chordata; Actinopteri; Cypriniformes; Danionidae
Exons: 3
Source: RefSeq, a predicted model, not a curated record